Molecule: non-coding RNA, 106 nt
Filed under: Bacillus sp. (in: firmicutes)
Lineage: Bacteria; Bacillati; Bacillota; Bacilli; Caryophanales; Bacillaceae
Also listed under: 1 other name
Description: Bacillus sp. SAM-I sequence
Rfam family: SAM riboswitch aptamer (S box leader)
About the family: The SAM riboswitch is found upstream of a number of genes which code for proteins involved in methionine or cysteine biosynthesis in Gram-positive bacteria. The SAM riboswitch acts at the level of transcription termination control.
Source: RNAcentral
CUCUUAUCAAGAGUGGCUGAGGGACAGGCCCAAUGAUGCCCGGCAACCGUUCCAAACGGAAUUGGUGCUAAUUCCUGCAAAACAAUUGUGUUUUGAGAGAUAAGAG